RNAcentral lists this ribosomal RNA (459 nucleotides) under uncultured bacterium. Its description in RNAcentral is "partial 16S ribosomal RNA". It matches the Rfam family "Bacterial small subunit ribosomal RNA", at positions 338 to 795 of the family's 1533-position model. The record is from RNAcentral.
CCUACGGGAGGCAGCAGUGAGGAAUAUUGGUCAAUGGCCGGAAGGCUGAACCAGCCAAGCCGCGUGAAGGACGAAUGUGCCAAGCAUUGUAAACUUCUUUUGUCAAGGGACAAAAUCAGGCUCGAGAGCCUGACCGAGGGUACUUGAAGAAAAAGCAUCGGCUAACUCCGUGCCAGCAGCCGCGGUAAUACGGAGGAUGCGAGCGUUAUCCGGAUUUAUUGGGUUUAAAGGGUGCGUAGGCGGGCUGUUAAGUCAGCGGUAAAAGCCCGGGGCUCAACCCCGGAGAGCCGUUGAUACUGGCUGUCUUGAGAUGUCGAGAGGUAUGCGGAAUGCGCAGUGUAGCGGUGAAAUGCUUAGAUAUUGCGAAGAACUCCGAUUGCGAAGGCAGCAUACUGGCGGCGAUCUGACGCUGAGGCACGAAAGCGUGGGUAUCGAACAGGAUUAGAUACCCGUGUAGUC